This 348-nucleotide unclassified non-coding RNA is filed under the name soil metagenome. Its description in RNAcentral is "partial contains 5.8S ribosomal RNA, internal transcribed spacer 2, and large subunit ribosomal RNA". The stretch from base 1 to 120 matches the Rfam family "5.8S ribosomal RNA", at positions 35 to 154 of the family's 154-position model. The record is from RNAcentral.
GAUGAAGAACGUAGCGAAAUGCGAUAAGUAAUGUGAAUUGCAGAAUUCAGUGAAUCAUCGAAUCUUUGAACGCACAUUGCGCCCAUCAGUAUUCUGUUGGGCAUGCCUGUCCGAGCGUCAUUUCAACCCUCAGGGCCCGUUCGCGGGAACUGGUGUUGGGGAUCGGCCUCCCCCCGGAGGCCGGCCCCGAAAUGCAGUGGCGGCUCUACCGCGAUCUCCUCUGUGUUGUAGCGAUACCUCGCAGCUGGAUAGUGGUGGUGCCACGCCGUAAAAUCCCAACUUUACCAAGGUUGACCUCGGAUCAGGUAGGAAUACCCGCUGAACUUAAGCAUAUCAAUAAGCGGAGGA